This 497-nucleotide ribosomal RNA is filed under the name uncultured bacterium. RNAcentral describes it as "partial 16S ribosomal RNA". It matches the Rfam family "Bacterial small subunit ribosomal RNA", at positions 28 to 507 of the family's 1533-position model. The record is from RNAcentral.
GAUGAACGCUGGCGGCGUGCCUAAUACAUGCAAGUCGAGCGAACGGACGAGAAGCUUGCUUCUCUGAUGUUAGCGGCGGACGGGUGAGUAACACGUGGAUAACCUACCUAUAAGACUGGGAUAACUUCGGGAAACCGGAGCUAAUACCGGAUAAUAUUUUGAACCGCAUGGUUCAAAAGUGAAAGACGGUCUUGCUGUCACUUAUAGAUGGAUCCGCGCUGCAUUAGCUAGUUGGUAAGGUAACGGCUUACCAAGGCAACGAUGCAUAGCCGACCUGAGAGGGUGAUCGCCCACACUGGAGCUGGGACACGGUCCAGACUCCUACGGGAGGCAGCAGUCUGGAAUCUUCCGCAGUGGGCGAAAGCCUGACGGAGCAACGCCGCGUGAGUGAUGAAGGUCUUCCGAUCGUAAAACUCUGUUAUUAGGGAGGAACAUAUGUGUAAGUAGCUGUGCACAUCUUGACGGUACCUAAUCAGAAAGCCACGGCUAACUACGUG